UGUACAUAUAGUCAUGUUCUGCUGAUGUUGCUCUGCUGCCACCUAUCUGCUGUCUCUUGCAGUGCAUUUCUGGUCCUGACAGGGCGGAGUCGCCAGCACACACCUGACGGCAAUCCCAAUGAACUUCUUAAGCCUUGCCAGACAUUAUUUUACUCGGCACUGGUAGCAUUGUUUCACUCUGCUGGAAACGCACAAGCAACACCAUGCAGUGGUGGACCAAACCAUUUCACGUCUCUAUGGGUUUCCAGACUACAUGGAAUGGAGGAUGAGGAAGCCCAUUUGGCGUCCUUGGCUUGACCUCACCAGCAGCUGUGAGGCCCCGGUGGGGGCAAAGACCUUCCAGACAGAGUGUGAGUCACGUUUACAAGCCACAGUGGACGAGUGAAGACGACACACGGCCUGUGUGACCUUCUGCGAGCCCCCACCUCCCACCCCCAUGCCGUUGAUUGACCUUGUGUCUCAAGGUCCCGGAGUGAGGUCUGAGGGUCCAAACUUUCAAGAAGAAAAGGGUUCGGGAGUCUGUGCAGACCCAAAGUCAUCCUCAGUGCAUCAACAUGCUCCUUCAGAGGUUUGUACUCAUCGUGCAGGCGCCGGGUCGUUUCUAGCAACUUGUUCAGGUCGUUUUCAGACUGCUUGAUGGUGCUUUCCAUCUGUGCAAGCACGAAAGCACACAUAAAAUAAACAGUAUAAACAACAACAUGAAUUAUGUGGACAUGCCAGUGUUAUGACACUGCAAUUGCAUUGCCUUUAUCUAAUUUAUUUGUUUUUUACUCACAUGAAAGUAAAUGAAAAAUUCUGCUAUAAUGAGGUUUCUUCUCUGUAAUUGUGGCAUAAAACUCACCACAUUGAUAUCUGCAUGGAUUAGCCGCAGCUCUUCCACAUGCGCCAUCUUCUCCUGCAGGAGAAGAUCCAUCUCUUGCUUGUACUCUUUUAAAUGCUUCUCCUCAGAUUCCAGGGCCUCAAACUCAAUCUUCAGGCGAGACUUGAUCUUCUGCAUCUGGAUUGUUUUGUUCCUGUUGGCACAUAAAGAGAACAUAUAUGGUUAACUCGCUCAUGAAUGAAAGCUAAAAUUAAACAUUGAGUAGACAUUAAGUGCACAUGAGACAAGAGCUGUAUCUUCUUUAGCAAUGACAACAGUGCUUGGCUGUUAUGACAAUUUCCAUUCAUUUCCAUGUGGGACAUCCCCAUUUAAAAGCACUCACUGGCGGCUCUGUCUUGCUCAUGACAUACAACAAAACAAAAAAAUCAGUAUUUCUAAUCAUGCUUGUUUUUACUGUCCAUGGUUUGCUCAUUUUGUUUUGUCGCCCACAAUAUCCAUAAAAAGUACAUGCACAAGCUUCAUGGCCAAUUAUGCAAAUUAGGUGAUGACUUACCUCCUCACAAA
Molecule: non-coding RNA, 1384 nt
Organism: Doryrhamphus excisus (bluestripe pipefish)
Lineage: Eukaryota; Metazoa; Chordata; Actinopteri; Syngnathiformes; Syngnathidae
Source: RefSeq, a predicted model, not a curated record